GACGUAUUGUCGGGGUCGGUUAACAAAGGUGUGUGCAACUGUUCUAUUGGAAUGUUUGUAAAGUUCUCCUGAAAGAUUUUUGGGAUUUUCUUUCGUAAAAUUAACUGAUUGACUCCAAAAAUGGCUGGUGCUAUUAAAGGGUCAACUUUUUUAAAAGGUCUUGCAGUCGAAAAAAAUCCCCACCUAAAACUUACUGCCAAUUAUCAAAAACUCCUUUACGCUCUUGCUAAACUACCAGAAACAUCAGCUUAUAGAAGACACACUGAAAGUAUUACAAAAGAAAGACUUCAUCAUGUUCAAACGACUCCUAACAUCGAAGAGCUUGAAAAAAAGAUUGACUGUGGUCAAGUUGAAGAGUUAAUUGUACAAGCUCGAAAUGAAACAAUGUUAGCUCGUAGAAUGAGCGUUUGGAAACCAUGGGAACCUCUAGCUGAGCCACCACCACCAAAUCAGUGGACUUGGCCACCAACAAAGUAGAAGGAGAAAGAAAUAGAGAAGAGUGGGAGAGGUGUGGUGAUGCGGUUUUGUGCAAGUGAGAUGAUGUGAGUGAACAGAGCACGAUGUGUGUGGAGGUAGAGAGUAACGAAGGAAAGGAGGAGAGCUCGAGUUCUGAGAGAACGCGCGACUGUCGCACUUGCCUCCGAGACAUCGUUGACGCAACACUGCGCGCGUGUUUCUCGUCGAGGAUGUAAACAAAGUUACGAUCGUGUGUUCAUGUUUACGCAUGUUUUCCCUUUCUUUCUUAUUGUUGUUAUUAAACGACAAUCAUAUUAACGGGAACAGUUACAAGGAUAUUGAAGAACCAUUUGAUGUCUUUAAAAUAAAAUCGAUAAUUGACGGAUUUAAAGUUGGCUGCAAUAAGCCGAGUAAUCGGGCAGAUUGUUGCUGUUGUGGAGCGGUUUUUACACAGUGAAUAGUAUUGUUCGGCUUUGUUCGUUUGGAUCACCGUGGACCUUUUACUGUCGAGAACACGCCGCGGGUACAGUGAACCCCUAGCGUUCGUUGUCGGUCUAUCUGUGUCGGAUUGAAAUAUCGGUGGCGCCGUGGGAAAGGGAUCACCGGCACGCCGAAGGCUCCAUUAUCGGUAAGUGUCGAUUUCAUUUGUAAUGCCCUGAAAUUCGCUUUCGGACUCUAAUGAACUAGAGUUAUCAAUUUCUGCAUGAUUAUCCGCGAGAAUAUCUAAUCAUUUGAAUGAGUCUGCAUUCAUUAACGUAUUGCGAAGUUAAUUCAUCAACUACUAGACAUGCUUCUACAGCAGUAGACGAUUAAUUUAUGGGUAUUAGAGACAUUUUUUGCGUGCGUGUUAUUGUAUCAGAAGGUCUUGAUCAACCACAAAUGUUUCUUUCAAAUACUUUGUAAACAAUAACAUCUGUUAUUACUAAUACACAUUACAUAUUUCAUUCGAAUACCAAGUAUUUUUAUGACCCUAGUGUUGAUAAAAAAAAUUUGUAGUUUUCUAGUUGAGUUACAAAAUUGAUAUUGAAUUGACAAUUCGGAGUAGUUAUAGAGAUAAAUAU
Molecule: unclassified non-coding RNA, 1517 nt
Filed under: Chelonus insularis
Lineage: Eukaryota; Metazoa; Arthropoda; Insecta; Hymenoptera; Braconidae
Description: nADH dehydrogenase [ubiquinone] 1 alpha subcomplex subunit 5, transcript variant X2
Source: RNAcentral